AAGAAAGUAUGCAAGAACUGCUAAUUCAUGCACCCAUAC
RNAcentral lists this transfer RNA (39 nucleotides) under Rattus rattus (black rat). Its description in RNAcentral is "partial tRNA-Ser". Lineage: Eukaryota; Metazoa; Chordata; Mammalia; Rodentia; Muridae. The record is from RNAcentral.